This 377-nucleotide ribosomal RNA is filed under the name Ehrlichia chaffeensis. Its description in RNAcentral is "bacterial SSU rRNA". It matches the Rfam family "Bacterial small subunit ribosomal RNA", at positions 24 to 405 of the family's 1533-position model. The record is from RNAcentral. Lineage: Bacteria; Pseudomonadati; Pseudomonadota; Alphaproteobacteria; Rickettsiales; Anaplasmataceae.
UCAGAACGAACGCUGGCGGCAAGCCUAACACAUGCAAGUCGAACGGACAAUUGCUUAUAACCUUUUGGUUAUAAAUAAUUGUUAGUGGCAGACGGGUGAGUAAUGCGUAGGAAUCUACCUAGUAGUAUGGAAUAGCCAUUAGAAAUGAUGGGUAAUACUGUAUAAUCCCUGCGGGGGAAAGAUUUAUCGCUAUUAGAUGAGCCUACGUUAGAUUAGCUAGUUGGUAAGGUAAUGGCUUACCAAGGCUAUGAUCUAUAGCUGGUCUGAGAGGACGAUCAGCCACACUGGAACUGAGAUACGGUCCAGACUCCUACGGGAGGCAGCAGUGGGGAAUAUUGGACAAUGGGCGAAAGCCUGAUCCAGCUAUGCCGCGUGAG